UGUAAUUGAACAUAAAGAAUAGACCAUUCUUUAAUCUUAUAUUAAAUUAAAGGAAUUACAAGUAGGAAAACCACUCCUUAUUAUACAUGUUAACUAUUAAGGAAUAGAGGGGGAAAAAAAGAAAGUUUUCAUAUGUAUUAAGAUGACCAAAACUCUAAUUAUUUCUGAGUUUGUCCCUUUUAGAGCAUAGCUAUGGUAUAGUUAUAAGCAAUUGUAAAGGGAUUACUUUAAAAUUCAUGAACACUUAGUUAUUCUCUCUUAACUGCACUUUCAGAGACUAUAGUCUUAUUGGGCUUCAGUCAUUAGAAGGAAUUCUAAAUAUAGAAAACAUGGUGUCAUGAACACUGUAAAAUUGGACGUUGAGAAUCAGGCUAUUGCAGGUUGGAUGCUUACUUCCUAGAGGACUAAGUUUCUAAUAGGCAUGCAUUUCUUAGGGACCAUAAUCCAUUUAAUCAUAGCCUUAAUGUUAACAUUAAUCUAUUCUAAGACUUUCCAGGAGUACUUAUCAGGAAGUGACAGAUGUUUUUUAGACUACAUAUUCUUGACUCUUUGCAUAACAAGAGAAAAACAAUCUUGUUUGGCUGGACAACAUGGAAGAACGAAUAAAAGGAGAGAAUAAGCUGCAAAUCCAAAGCCUUCAGGAGACAGAGAGCAUGACUGAAAGGUAUGGUGAAAAGGGAUAUUUCUGUCUUGGACAAGAGGGCUUUGGGACGGGAUGAUAAUUUAUUUGUAGACU
Molecule: long non-coding RNA, 736 nt
Filed under: Mustela putorius furo (domestic ferret)
Lineage: Eukaryota; Metazoa; Chordata; Mammalia; Carnivora; Mustelidae
Description: lncRNA (ENSMPUG00000027852.1)
Source: RNAcentral